CGCCGAUGAAGAUUAAGAUUAAAUAUUUGCUACUCUCGAGGGUGAAAGACCCCUGUGACGACUAACUAAUCACCAAGAUCGCCGAGGCG
This 89-nucleotide small nucleolar RNA is filed under the name Bathycoccus prasinos. RNAcentral's name for it is "Small nucleolar RNA SNORD24". It matches the Rfam family "Small nucleolar RNA SNORD24". From Rfam's summary of the family: U24 is a member of the C/D class of snoRNA which contain the C (UGAUGA) and D (CUGA) box motifs. C/D box snoRNAs have been shown to act as methylation guides for a number of RNA targets. U24 is encoded within an intron of the gene for ribosomal protein L7a in mammals, chicken and Fugu. The record is from Rfam by way of RNAcentral. Lineage: Eukaryota; Viridiplantae; Chlorophyta; Mamiellophyceae; Mamiellales; Bathycoccaceae.